RNAcentral lists this ribosomal RNA (916 nucleotides) under uncultured archaeon. RNAcentral's name for it is "SSU rRNA". It matches the Rfam family "Archaeal small subunit ribosomal RNA", at positions 1 to 922 of the family's 1478-position model. The record is from RNAcentral.
UUUCCGGUUGAUCCCGCCGGACCUGACUGCUAUCGGAUUGAUACUAAGCCAUGCGAGUCUUUGUAGUAAUACAAGGCAUACGGCUCAGUAACACGUAGUCAACCUACCCUAUGGACGAGAAUAAUCUCGGGAAACUGAGCAUAAUUCUUGAUAGAUCAUAAUGCCUGGAAUGGUUUAUGGUUAAAAUGAUUCGUCGCCAUAGGAUGGGACUGCGGCCUAUCAGCUUGUUGGUGAGGUAAUGGCCCACCAAGGCGAUUACAGGUACGGGCUCUGAGAGGAGAAGCCCGGAGAUGGGUACUGAGACACGGACCCAGGCCCUAUGGGGCGCAGCAGGCGAGAAAACUUUGCAAUGCGCGAAAGCACGACAAGGUUAAUCCGAGUGAUUCCUGCUAAAGAAAUCUUUUGUCAGUCAUAAAACCACUGGCGAAUAAGGGGUGGGCAAGUUCUGGUGUCAGCCGCCGCGGUAAAACCAGCACCUCAAGUGGUCAGGAUGAUUAUUGGGCCUAAAGCAUCCGUAGCCGGCUUUGUUAGUUUUCGGUUAAAUCCAUGUGCUCAACGCAUGGGCUGCCGAAAAUACUGCAUGGCUAGGGAGUGGGAGAGGUAGACGGUACUCAGUAGGAAGGGGUAAAAUCCUUUGAUCUAUUGAUGACCACCUGUGGCGAAGGCGGUCUACCAGAACACGUUCGACGGUGAGGGAUGAAAGCUGGGGGAGCAAACCGGAUUAGAUACCCGGGUAGUCCCAGCUGUAAACGAUGCAGACUCGAUGAUGCAUUGGCAUAAUAGCCAGUGCAGUGUCGCAGGGAAGCCGUUAAGUCUGCCGCCUGGGAAGUACGUACGCAAGUAUGAAACUUAAAGGAAUUGGCGGGGGAGCACCACAAGGGGUGAAGCCUGCGGUUCAAUUGGAUUCAACGCCGGG